Molecule: RNA transcript, 1284 nt
Organism: Elaeis guineensis (African oil palm)
Lineage: Eukaryota; Viridiplantae; Streptophyta; Magnoliopsida; Arecales; Arecaceae
Gene name: mediator of RNA polymerase II transcription subunit 22a
Source: RefSeq, a predicted model, not a curated record
ACCCCGAGAAAGCAUCUUUCCGUGCUGGCUGGCUUCAAUCACACCCCCCCUCGGCAGCGUCAUAAAACCCCCUCACGCGAGCAAAGUCCUGGCCACCUGGUUGCGGUGGGUCUCGCGGCCGCUCUCCCCCUACUCCGGCGACCAAAAGCCGUUUUUCCUCGGUGCCAACUCCUUCCUCAUCUCCAUAUCGGUGUCCUAGAGGCAAUAGGAGAAGAAGAAAGAAGAAAGCCAGGAAAGAGAGAGAUAGAGAGAGACGGGGGGGACGUCCGGCAGAUGGUGGCGGCUUCAACGGUGGCCAUCGGCGGUGGCUGACGGGUUAUAGAGUACAUCUGUUGUAUUGCAACUAGGCUCCUAUACUUUUAGCAAAUAUUGGCCGAAUAUCGUCGCUACCCAAAAAGGCCUAUAGAAAGAUCCAAAGUUUUCCAGAAGCAUGAGCAAAGCAGGAGCAAGCGGUGCUGGAAGUGGGCCAACAGCAGCAGCUGCAGCAGCAGCUGCCCAGAAGCAGAAGGCCCUGCUGCAAAGGGUUGAUGCUGAUGUGGCGAACAUCGUUGAUAAUUUUAACCUCCUCAUUAAUGUUGCCAGGGUGAAUGACCCACCUAUUCGUAACUCUCAAGAAGCUUUUCAGAUGGAGAUGCGUGCUGCAAGGAUGGUUCAAGCAGCAGAUUCACUCCUAAAGUUGGUGUCAGAACUGAAACAAAAUGCCAUCUUUUCGGGGUUUGCAUCACUGAAUGAGAAUGUGGAUAGGAGGAUUGAGGUGUUCGAGCAGCUGGAGGAGAGCACUGAGCGAUUAUUGGAGAAGAUCGGGGAGGAGGCAGCUGCAAGUCUUAAAGAGUUGGAAACCCAUUAUUACUCCUCAGUUCUGAGGACAUGCCAGCAUGAUUGAUGAUUAGGGAUGGCUGUUGAACAAUCUUGGUGAUCUCCAAGAAGAAUUGAGUCUGAAGUUUCUCGAUGUCAUUUCCUAUGAUUCACAUUCCUUUGUCCUGCUUGUCCUCUUUUGUUGAAGUUGGAAAAAUAUUUGUGUUAAUGUCCAGGUGGUAGGUUUAUGGAUCACUGGUGAAAUGUUGAAAUAUGACUGGGUACAGGUGAAUAUGACCGGCCAAAAUUCCAUAAUGUUCUCCACUACCUUUUGGUGUGAAACCAAAGCCCUCUACUUGCAAUUGCUUUGCUCAGCAAUCAACACCCUGUAAUUGUAUUGACAACAGGUUUAGAGUUGGUUGCAGAGUCACUAUUGGAUCAUGACACAAUUAUUUAAGUAACAGUUUUUUCUGGUAAUUGCAUCGUUAA